RNAcentral lists this ribosomal RNA (246 nucleotides) under uncultured bacterium. RNAcentral's name for it is "partial 16S ribosomal RNA". It matches the Rfam family "Bacterial small subunit ribosomal RNA", at positions 523 to 769 of the family's 1533-position model. The record is from RNAcentral.
AUACGGAGGGUGCGAGCGUUGUUCGGAAUUAUUGGGCGUAAAGCGUAUGUAGGUGGUUAGAUAAGUCUAUGGUGAAAUUUCCUGGCUUAACUGGGAAGUGCAUUGGAUACUGGCAGACUUGAAUACGGGAGAGGGCAGUGGAAUUCCUGGUGUAGGAGUGAAAUCCGUAGAUAUCAGGAGGAACACCGGUGGCGAAGGCGGCUGCCUGGACCGAUAUUGACGCUGAGACGCGAAAGCGUGGGUAGC